RNAcentral lists this transfer RNA (69 nucleotides) under Urocitellus parryii (Arctic ground squirrel). RNAcentral describes it as "Spermophilus parryii (Arctic ground squirrel) tRNA". It matches the Rfam family "tRNA". From Rfam's summary of the family: Transfer RNA (tRNA) molecules are approximately 80 nucleotides in length. Their secondary structure includes four short double-helical elements and three loops (D, anti-codon, and T loops). Lineage: Eukaryota; Metazoa; Chordata; Mammalia; Rodentia; Sciuridae. RNAcentral also lists the same sequence under 1 other name. The record is from Rfam by way of RNAcentral.
GGGUUUGUGGCUCAGUGGUAGAGCGCUUGCCUAGCAUGUGUGAAGCACUGGGUUCAAUCCUCAGCACCA